CAUAAUAAUUUGUCUUUUAAUUGAAGACUGGUAUGAAAGGCAUCAUGGAAAUAAGCUGUCUUAUAAAAAAUUCUUAAAAUUUUCUUAGGAGGUGAAAAUUCCUCUGUUAAAUUAAAUUAGACGAGAAGACCCUUAGAAUUAUAACAAGACUUGAUUUAAGGACAGUUUUUGUUGGGGCAACAUUAUCAGAGCUUAUAACUGAUAACUUAUUAAAGUUAACAAGACCAUCAUUUUAAAUAGGAAUUUAAUUACCUAAGGGAUAACAGCAUAAUUUAAUUAUAAGAGUAUGACCUCGAUGUUGGACUAGGGACUUUUUACACUAGACGUGAAAAAAGAUUGUUCUGUUCGAACAGUAGUACCCUACGUGAUCUGAGUU
This 376-nucleotide ribosomal RNA is filed under the name Mastus etuberculatus. Its description in RNAcentral is "partial 16S ribosomal RNA". The record is from RNAcentral. Lineage: Eukaryota; Metazoa; Mollusca; Gastropoda; Stylommatophora; Enidae.